CCACUGAGCUCGGCCGAGCCGGUGGAAGUGGACACCGUCGCCGCCUCCGAUGGGCAACAGGCUGGCAAUGACCAAAAGGCAACAGUGGGCACAGGCCGCACCGAGGUGGAGCCCGGGGCCAGGUCCGUGGCCCACAUUUUCCCACAGAACGCCCGU
Molecule: long non-coding RNA, 156 nt
Organism: Ochotona curzoniae (black-lipped pika)
Lineage: Eukaryota; Metazoa; Chordata; Mammalia; Lagomorpha; Ochotonidae
Exons: 3
Source: RefSeq, a predicted model, not a curated record